This 301-nucleotide ribosomal RNA is filed under the name uncultured bacterium. RNAcentral describes it as "partial 16S ribosomal RNA". It matches the Rfam family "Bacterial small subunit ribosomal RNA", at positions 509 to 807 of the family's 1533-position model. The record is from RNAcentral.
CAGCAGCCACGGUAAUACGAAGGGGGCUAGCGUUGCUCGGAAUCACUGGGCGUAAGGGGCGCGUAGGCGGCCAUUCAAGUCAGAGGUGAAAGCCUGGAGCUCAACUCCAGAAUUGCCUUUGAUACUGUUUGGCUCGAGACCGGAAGAGGUUAGUGGAACUGCGAGUGUAGAGGUGAAAUUCGUAGAUAUUCGCAAGAACACCAGUGGCGAAGGCGGCUAACUGGUCCGGUUCUGACGCUGAGGCGCGAAAGCGUGGGGAGCAAACAGGAUUAGAUACCCCCGUAGUCCCUGUCUCUUAUAC